This 530-nucleotide ribosomal RNA is filed under the name uncultured bacterium. RNAcentral describes it as "bacterial SSU rRNA". It matches the Rfam family "Bacterial small subunit ribosomal RNA", at positions 392 to 932 of the family's 1533-position model. The record is from RNAcentral.
UCACGCCGCGUGAGGGAUGAAGGCCUUCGGGUUGUAAACCUCUUUUAGUAGGGAAGAAGCGAAAGUGACGGUACCUACAGAAAAAGCACCGGCUAACUACGUGCCAGCAGCCGCGGUAAUACGUAGGGUGCAAGCGUUGUCCGGAAUUAUUGGGCGUAAAGAGCUCGUAGGCGGUUUGUCGCGUCUGCUGUGAAAACCUGAGGCUCAACCUCAGACCUGCAGUGGGUACGGGCAAGCUAGAGUGCGGUAGGGGAGAUGGGAAUUCCUGGUGUAGCGGUGGAAUGCGCAGAUAUCAGGAGGAACACCGAUGGCGAAGGCACAUCUCUGGGCCGUAACUGACGCUGAGGAGCGAAAGCGUGGGGAGCGAACAGGAUUAGAUACCCUGGUAGUCCACGCCGUAAACGGUGGGUGCUAGUUGUGGGUCACAUUCCACGUGAUCCGUGACGAAGUUAACACAUUAAGCACCCCGCCUGGGGAGUACGGUCGCAAGACUAAAACUCAAAGAAAUUGACGGGGGCCCGCACAAGCGG